This 1223-nucleotide unclassified non-coding RNA is filed under the name Hevea brasiliensis (rubber tree). Lineage: Eukaryota; Viridiplantae; Streptophyta; Magnoliopsida; Malpighiales; Euphorbiaceae. The record is from RNAcentral.
AGUUGAGUUGAGUUGAGUAUGGUUAUGGUACAUAAGUCAAUAAGUACAUUUUGUGCACAAAAGAGGGGAAAAAAAUCUAUCGUCUUCUCAUUCAUUGUGAAGAGGCACCAGUUUUAUGGGGCCUCAGAUCUGGCUUAAUCUUGCUCAAAGACUAAUUGAGUUCUUCCAUUUACGGGACAUGAAGGAUGGCAUAGUAAAACAAUUUCAUAGGUGCAGAAAAAGAUUUAGGGGAUGCUACAGCAUGUGGAUUUGGUAAGUUGAAGAAAAGAAAAAACACAAGGUUUGCGAUCAUUUCACAAAUCAAAAUCUAGGAACUAAAAAUGAUAGAUUCAUAUUGAAAGGAUGAGAAAUUUAUUGUGAUACAUUCAGAACUUGUGCACUGAAUGCACCGAGUCAUCACGGUCUUCACUAAAGGACCAAGAUUCUUAUCAACCACAGAUCGCUUCAUUUCAGUGAACCGGCCACGAUCAGAUCCAAAUGCCAUAGACUGAUCUUGAAGAUCACACUCUCCACCUUGAUCACAAAUUGGACAAUCCAAUGGAUGAUUCAUGAGCAAAAACUCCAUCACCCCUUCUCGUGCCUUCUUUGCCACAGGUGUGUCCGUCUUAAUCUUCAUCCCAGGAAGAGCAGGCAUGGCGCAAGACGCCACAGGCUUGGGGGACUUCUCAACUUCAACUAGGCACAUACGACAAUUGCCGGCGAUAGAGAGUCGGCAAUGAUAGCAGAAGCGAGGAAUGUCAACACCGGCAAUUUCACAGGCUUGCAAAACAGUCAUCCCCUUGGGGAUUUUGACGAGGUAGCCAUCGACAAAGAUCUCGAUCGCAUCAUCCGGGUUGGGGAAGUGAACCCGGGCACCAGCAACGGAAGUUCGAGGAAGAAGAUCUGGUGUGGGUUCAGGUGCAGCGGCGGCGGUGGAAGGUUCAGGGGAUUGAAGCUCGGGCUUGAUGACGAUGGACCGGAGGAGGAUGAGGUUUCUAGGGUUGGGGUGGGGUCUGAGUACUCUGGAAGCUAAUAACCCUAGCCCCAUUAGAAGAAGUGGCACUGUACUGGCAAUUGAAAAUUGAAGAGGCCUCUGUUAAGAAGAUCUACAGAGAAAUGCUUGAGCUUUUGAGCUCUGAGGGAGCGAAAGAGGAGAACAGAUGAAAUGCAGGCGUGUGGCCGCAUUACUCCCGCAAGGAUGGGGCUGUUUCGUGUCCGUUUUUACCCACCCGGUUUGUUGUGAA